This 430-nucleotide non-coding RNA is filed under the name Drosophila simulans. RNAcentral describes it as "Eukaryotic large subunit ribosomal RNA". It matches the Rfam family "Eukaryotic large subunit ribosomal RNA", at positions 2242 to 2521 of the family's 3401-position model. Lineage: Eukaryota; Metazoa; Arthropoda; Insecta; Diptera; Drosophilidae. The record is from Rfam by way of RNAcentral.
AUAUAUAAAUGGCUAUGAGGAUGGUUUUAGUACGUAGGCGUUGCGGAACUUCGGUUCGGAUUGAGCAAUGAAUUGUGCUCAAUAGGAAAAAUGACCACACGCAGGGUGGGCAGCCCUAGUUUCUUUUGAUAGAUUUCCAUACCUCCGCGAUCAAAAAAAAAAAAAAAAAAAAAAUAGCCAAAUGCCUCGUCAUCUAAUUAGUGAUGCGCAUGAAUGGAUUAACGAGAUUCUUACUGUCCCUAUCUACUAUCUAGCGAAACCACAGCCAAGGGAACGGGCUUGGAAUAAUUAGCGGGGAAAGAAGACCCUUUUGAGCUUGACUCUAAUCUGGCAGUGUAAGGAGACAUAAGAGGUGUAGAAUAAGUGGGAGAUAUUAGACCUCGGUUUGGUAUUGUCAAUGAAAUACCACUACUCUUAUUGUUUCCUUACU